Molecule: ribosomal RNA, 811 nt
Filed under: uncultured Bacteroidota bacterium
Lineage: Bacteria; Pseudomonadati; Bacteroidota
Description: bacterial SSU rRNA
Rfam family: Bacterial small subunit ribosomal RNA
Source: RNAcentral
AGCGGCAGGUUAGGUAGUAAUACUUGACCUAGAGCGGCGCGCGGGUGCGUAACGCGUAUGCAACCUACCUUUUACUGGGGGAUAGCCCGGAGAAAUCUGGAUUAAUACCCCAUAGUACCUAAGGAUCGAUUGGUUUUUAGUUUAAAGAUUUAUCGGUAAAAGAUGGGCAUGCGUCUGAUUAGCUAGUUGGCGGGGUAACGGCCCACCAAGGCGACGAUCAGUAGGGGUUCUGAGAGGAAGGUCCCCCACACUGGCACUGAGAUACGGGCCAGACUCCUACGGGAGGCAGCAGUAGGGAAUAUUGGGCAAUGGUCGCAAGACUGACCCAGCCAUGCCGCGUGCAGGAAGACGGCCCUCUGGGUUGUAAACUGCUUUUAUCUGGGAAGAAAAAGUCCAUGCGUGGAAAAUUGCCGGUACCAGAUGAAUAAGCACCGGCUAACUCCGUGCCAGCAGCCGCGGUAAUACGGAGGGUGCAAGCGUUGUCCGGAUUUAUUGGGUUUAAAGGGUGCGUAGGCGGCUGAAUAAGUCAGCGGUGAAAGACUUCGGCUUAACCGGAGCAGUGCCGUUGAUACUGUUUAGCUUGAGUGUUGGAGGGGUACAUGGAAUUGAUGGUGUAGCGGUGAAAUGCAUAGAUACCAUCAGGAACACCGAUAGCGAAGGCAUCGUACUGGCCAACAACUGACGCUGAGGCACGAAAGUGUGGGGAUCGAACAGGAUUAGAUACCCUGGUAGUCCACACUGUAAACGAUGAUUACUCGCUGUUAUGCUGUAUAGUGUAGCGGCCAAGCGAAAGCGUUAAGUAAUCCACCUG